Molecule: ribosomal RNA, 468 nt
Filed under: uncultured bacterium
Lineage: Bacteria
Description: partial 16S ribosomal RNA
Rfam family: Bacterial small subunit ribosomal RNA
Source: RNAcentral
GACGAACGCUGGCGGCGUGCUUAACACAUGCAAGUCGAACGGAAAGGCCCUGCUUUUGUGGGGUUCUCGAGUGGCGAACGGGUGAGUAACACGUGAGUAACCUGCCCUUGACUUUGGGAUAACUUCAGGAAACUGGGGCUAAUACCGGAUAGGAUCUCCUGCUGCAUGGUGGGGGUUGGAAAUUUUCGGCGGGUGGGGAUGGACUCGCGGCUUAUCAGCUUGUUGGUUGGGUAGUGGCUUACCAAGGCUUUGACGGGUAGCCGGCCUGAGAGGGUGACCGGCGACAUUGGGACUGAGAUACGGCGCAGACUCCUAUGGGAGACAGCAGUGGGGAAUAUGGUCCAAUGGGCGGAAGUCUGAUGCAGAAACGCCGCGUGCGGGAUGACGGUCUUCGGGUUGUAAAACGCUUUAGCCUGUGACGAAGCGUGAGUGACGGUAAUGGGUAAAGAAGCACCGGCUAACUACGUG